RNAcentral lists this long non-coding RNA (252 nucleotides) under Elaeis guineensis (African oil palm). RNAcentral's name for it is "long non-coding RNA (EGUI_LNC082882)". The record is from RNAcentral. Lineage: Eukaryota; Viridiplantae; Streptophyta; Magnoliopsida; Arecales; Arecaceae.
UUGCUAGAUGGUCACUUCGAUUGGUAUAAAAAUUUAUUUCUGUACUACCGACUUAGAUUCGGACCUAUGAGGUCACACACAUUAGAGUUCAUGAUCCGAUCGGAUGGUUGAUCAACGAUUAAGAAUCAUUCUAGGGUUAAAUGAUCAAUACGAUUGACAUUUAACCCAGUGCAAAUGUUGCAGGAGGAUCGAUUAGCAAUUCGAUUGCUAAUUGGCUUAAUUUGAUUAAGCCAAUGGGCUGAGAUUAAGUCU